RNAcentral lists this ribosomal RNA (610 nucleotides) under uncultured bacterium. RNAcentral's name for it is "bacterial SSU rRNA". It matches the Rfam family "Bacterial small subunit ribosomal RNA", at positions 1 to 648 of the family's 1533-position model. The record is from RNAcentral.
GCGNNAAUUCGAUUAGAGUUUGAUCAUGGCUCAGAGCGAACGCUGGCGGCAGGCUUAACACAUGCAAGUCGAGCGCCCGUAGCAAUACGGGAGCGGCAGACGGGAGAGUAACACGUGGGAACGUACCCUUCGGUUCGGAAUAACCCAGGGAAACUUGGGCUAAUACCGGAUACGUCCGUAAGGAGAAAGAUUUAUCGCCGAGGGAUCGGCCCGCGUCCGAUUAGCUAGUUGGUGGGGUAAUGGCCCACCAAGGCGACGAUCGGUAGCUGGUCUGAGAGGAUGAUCAGCCUCACUGGGACUGAGACACGGCCCAGACUCCUACGGGAGGCAGCAGUGGGGAAUAUUGGACAAUGGGCGCAAGCCUGAUCCAGCCAUGCCGCGUGGGUGAUGAAGGCCUUAGGGUUGUAAAGCCCUUUCGGCGGGGAAGAUAAUGACGGUACCCGCAGAAGAAGCCCCGGCUAACUUCGUGCCAGCAGCCGCGGUAAUACGAAGGGGGCUAGCGUUGCUCGGAAUCACUGGGCGUAAAGCGCACGUAGGCGGAUCGUUAAGUCAGGGGUGAAAUCCUGGAGCUCAACUCCAGAACUGCCUUUGAUACUGGCGACCUUGAGUU